AACUCUUCUCGGCCUUUUGGCUAAGAUCAAGUGUAAUUAAUAUCUGUUCUUAUCAGCUUAAUAUCUGAUACAUCCUCUGUCUGAGGACAAUAUAUUAAAUGGAUUUUUGGAACUAGGAGUUGGAAUAGGAGCUUGCUCCGUCCACUCCUGCGUCAACCUGGUAUUGCUGUACCUCCAGGAGCGGUGCACCCCCC
This 194-nucleotide small nuclear RNA is filed under the name Nannospalax galili (Upper Galilee mountains blind mole rat). RNAcentral's name for it is "U2 spliceosomal RNA (ENSNGAG00000004311.1)". It matches the Rfam family "U2 spliceosomal RNA". Rfam says of the family: U2 is a small nuclear RNA (snRNA) component of the spliceosome (involved in pre-mRNA splicing). Complementary binding between U2 snRNA (in an area lying towards the 5' end but 3' to hairpin I) and the branchpoint sequence (BPS) of the intron results the bulging out of an unpaired adenosine, on the BPS, which initiates a nucleophilic attack at the intronic 5' splice site, thus starting the first of two transesterification reactions that mediate splicing. The record is from Rfam by way of RNAcentral. Lineage: Eukaryota; Metazoa; Chordata; Mammalia; Rodentia; Spalacidae.